CAGGCCUAACACAUGCAAGUCGAACGGAAACGAUGCUAGCUUGCUAGCAGGCGUCGAGUGGCGGACGGGUGAGUAACACGUGGGAAUCUGCCUAUUAGUGGGGGAUAAGCUGGGGAAACCCAGUCUAAUACCGCAUACGCACUACGGUGGAAAGGGGCCCUCUCCUUGGAAGGUCUCGCUAAUAGAUGAGCCCGCGUCGGAUUAGCUAGUUGGUGGGGUAAAGGCCCACCAAGGCGACGAUCCGUAGCUGGUCUGAGAGGAUGAUCAGCCACACUGGGACUGAGACACGGCCCAGACUCCUACGGGAGGCAGCAGUAGGGAAUAUUGGACAAUGGAGGAAACUCUGAUCCAGCCAUGCCGCGUGUGUGAAGAAGGCCCUAGGGUUGUAAAGCACUUUCAGUAGGGAGGAAACGCCUACGGUUAAUACCCGUGGGCUAUGACGUUACCUACAGAAGAAGCACCGGCUAAUUUCGUGCCAGCAGCCGCGGUAAUACGAAAGGUGCAAGCGUUAAUCGGAAUUACUGGGCGUAAAGCGUACGUAGGCGGUUGAUUAAGCAGGAUGUGAAAGCCCCGAGCUCAACUUGGGAACUGCAUCCUGAACUGGUCAACUAGAGUACAGCAGAGGAGAGUGGAAUUUCUCGUGUAGCGG
This 649-nucleotide ribosomal RNA is filed under the name uncultured bacterium. RNAcentral describes it as "bacterial SSU rRNA". It matches the Rfam family "Bacterial small subunit ribosomal RNA", at positions 43 to 681 of the family's 1533-position model. The record is from RNAcentral.